Molecule: non-coding RNA, 72 nt
Organism: Bos taurus (domestic cattle)
Lineage: Eukaryota; Metazoa; Chordata; Mammalia; Artiodactyla; Bovidae
Source: Rfam
UCCCUGGUGGUCUAGUGGUUAGGACUUGGCAUUUCUACUGCCAUGGCCCAGAUUCAAUCCCUGGUCAUGGAA